AGAUUCCUGGAAUGGGUUUUGGUCUAAAUGGAGUAACAGCAUCUUGUUAUUUCCGCUCGAGGAUGGGACUGCGGCCGAUCAGGCUGUUGGUGGGGUAAAGGCCCACCAAACCAGUAACCGGUACGGGCAUUGAGAGAUGGAGCCCGGAGAUGGACACUGAGACAAGGGUCCAGGUCCUACGGGGCGCAGCAGGCGCGAAACCUUCGCAAUGCGCGAAAGCGCGACGAGGUUAUUCCGAGUGAUUCCCGCUGAGGGAAUCUUUUCUCAGAUCCAAAAAGUCUGGGGAAUAAGGGGAGGGCAAGUCUGGUGUCAGCCGCCGCGGUAAUACCAGCUCCUCGAGUGGUCAGGGCGUUUAUUGGGCCUAAAGCAUCCGUAGCCGGCUAAGUAGGUCUCCUGUUAAAUCCAACGGCUCAACCGUUGGUCUGCAGGAGAUACCGCUAGGCUAGGAGGCGGGAGAGGCGGACGGUACUCCGAGGGUAGGGGUAAAAUCCUUUGAUCCCCGGAAGACCACCAGUGGCGAAGGCGGUCCGCCAGAACGCGCUCGACGGUGAGGGAUGAAAGCUGGGGGAGCGAACCGGAUUAGAUACCCGGGUAGUCCCAGCUGUAAACGAUGCGAGCUAGGUGACACGACGCCUUCGGGGCAUCGUGGUGCCGCAGGGAAGCCGUUAAGCUCGCCGCC
This 679-nucleotide ribosomal RNA is filed under the name uncultured archaeon. RNAcentral describes it as "bacterial SSU rRNA". It matches the Rfam family "Archaeal small subunit ribosomal RNA", at positions 164 to 828 of the family's 1478-position model. The record is from RNAcentral.